Molecule: ribosomal RNA, 512 nt
Filed under: Anax imperator (emperor dragonfly)
Lineage: Eukaryota; Metazoa; Arthropoda; Insecta; Odonata; Aeshnidae
Also listed under: 1 other name
Description: partial 16S ribosomal RNA
Rfam family: Bacterial large subunit ribosomal RNA
Source: RNAcentral
GUCUUCUUGCUAUAUUUAGGAAGUCUGGCCUGCCCAGUGAAAAUAAUUUAACGGCCGCGGUAUACUGACCGUGCAAAGGUAGCAUAAUCAUUAGUCUUUUAAUAGAGGGCUGGUAUGAAGGGUUUAACGAGGUGUUGACUGUCUCAUUUAAUUUGAAUUUAGAAUUUAAUUUUUUAGUUAAAAAGCUAAAAUAUUAUUGGAAGACGAGAAGACCCUAUAGAGCUUUAUAUUUUUAUUAUUAAUUUAUUUUAGUUUAUUAUUAUUUAUUAUUAAUAGAAAGUAUUUUGUUGGGGUGACAAAAAUAUAUAAAUAACUUUUUCAUUUAUUUUACAUUGAUAUAUGAAUAUUAGAUCCAAUCUUAUUGAUUGUUAGAUUAAGUUACCUUAGGGAUAACAGCGUAAUCCCUCUCCAGAGUUCAUAUUUACAGAGGGGCUUGCGACCUCGAUGUUGGAUUAAGAUAAUAAUUAGGUGCAGCCGCUUAAUUAAUAGGUCUGUUCGACCUUUAAAUUCUU